Molecule: non-coding RNA, 1405 nt
Organism: Dermacentor albipictus
Lineage: Eukaryota; Metazoa; Arthropoda; Arachnida; Ixodida; Ixodidae
Source: RefSeq, a predicted model, not a curated record
GCCGACUGCAGCGUCGAAAUCGUUAAUACACUCUAAUCGUUCACUUGAUUUUUCGCUGCAUUGGAAAUGCAAGCGGUUAAUUUCGCCGAAUGAAAUGUCUGGACGCUUUUCAGCGCCCGUCUCGUGCUUCUGAGAAGAGCUUGCGGUAUUGGCGUGAACAGACAGGCAAGUGGACGUAUUUAUUCUACAGUUAUUGAACAGUUACUUGUCGAUACAUAUUGAAGUUAGCCUAGAAGCUGUCGUUAAAAGUUCCGUCUUUCAGUAGACCUUGUGCAGCGUACUCUCAGCUCAAUACGAAAUUCUUGACUGCGUUCUCGAGUUUUGUUUAACGGUAAUGAGAAGGAGUUAGAUAAUGCACAGAGGCAAGGUUUUGUCUGGUCUUGCAGGAGUCCCAGGUGUUUUUUGCGCCGCGUACACUGUCGCAAUCGUUACACGUCUGAGGAACCAGACUGGCGGUGCACAGGUAAAGCCGGCUGCCAGUGCAAGCCGCAGUCCCCGACAUUGUCGCUAUAAAGAGGAAAUUUGUACGUGUACUAAGUGUACGCAACGCUUCUUCGUUUAGUAUAUAUUUGGCGGCGCCUCCAGCAGACAAAAUGUGGAUCCCGUACUGCUCCUUCGGUUUGGGCUCGGCAAUGCCUCCGCGUGGCGGGCGCGUUUAAGAGGAAGCUUUAGCUCGGGUGUUCCAAUCUAAAUACAUGUAAACGGAGUAUUCGUUUUUCUCGGCAACCACUGCACCAAAUUUGACGAGGUUUGUUACAUUUAAAACAAAAGCUUAGAAUCUAGAAUUUCUGCUGGGUACACAAAAGAUUUAAGCGAAACAAUUGAAGCAGAGCGGGGCAUGGUGCUUUCAGUGCCCAAUUUUUUAUAGAACAUGUAGUUUUCCAUUAUAAAGGGGACUGUAAUGUGAUGUCUUUAAGUUGGGGGUUGUCUUAUAUUCAGAGUCGACUUAUGUUUCAAUAUGAACGGGAAUUGAGUGUUACGCAAUUCUUUUAACGAGAUUUACCUCUGCUGUUUAGUUUCCAUAUUGUGCGUAGAAGCAACAGUGCGUGCACUUUCAGCUGCUCAGUUUAUCUUCAGUGCUGCUCUCAUUUUGUAGAGUUCAUCACUUGUGCAUGUGCAACACAUUGGCGGAGACAAUACAAACUGCAUUUCUCACUAGCUGGACAAGUCGGAAUGGCAAUGCACCUUGGAGAACAAGACUCGAAUUGUGAAAGUCUGGUGGUUUCCCAGAACUUUGUUUUAUGUCAAGAUGGGCUGACACCAUGUCACCUGAUGCUGUCACUCUCUGGAAAUGCCUAUUUUCUGCCUGCCCAGGAGGAGCUCCAAGCAAUAAUCACCGAUCAAAACGUCUGAUUGUGGUAUUCACCCAUUUAUAAUGUGCCAUCUUUAACAAAACUUUCUUGGC